UAAGACCCAUGUAUGUAAUGAUUUCACUACUUGGUAUGAUAUGUAAAUCAUAUGGCAUGGUAUGAUAUGUAAAUCCUGGUAGAAGAGUCCCAGCAGCCGAAAUGCUGGGCUUCCUGUGAGGGGCUGGGGCCCUGUCCUAUUGCUUAGUGGUCUGCGUGCAUGGCAGUUACUUCCUGGACCGUGUGUGAGAAGCAAAUGGCAACAGCUUGGCCUUGCCUCUCCAGGAGCCACCGUCACAGACCCCCGGAAGCCAGGAGGUAUAGUGACUCUUGCUGUGCUCCUUGCCUGCCCAUAGGUCCUGGUCCAGUGGCGGGAAGCUGUGUCAGUGCAGAUAUAUUACCGACAGCAGGAGGACUGUGCCAUCUGGGAGGCCCGGAAGGUGCUGGACAGGGGCUGUCUGCGGACCUGGUUUCAGCGCUGGCGGAACUGCAGCCAGAGGUCAGCCCAGCAGAGACUGCAGCUAGAGAGGGCAGUCCAACACCACCACCGGCAGCUGCUGCUGGAGGGGCUGGCCCGGUGGAAGAUGCACCAUCGGGAGUGUGUCAGGAAGAGGCUCCUGCAUAGGCAGAGCACCCAACUCCUGGCACAG
RNAcentral lists this small RNA (589 nucleotides) under Pongo abelii (Sumatran orangutan). Its description in RNAcentral is "retained intron". The record is from RNAcentral. Lineage: Eukaryota; Metazoa; Chordata; Mammalia; Primates; Hominidae.